AAAACGACUCUCGACAACGGAUAUCUCGGCUCUCGCAUCGAUGAAGAACGCAGCGAAAUGCGAUACUUGGUGUGAAUUGCAGGAUCCCGCGAACCAUCGAGUCUUUGAACGCAAGUUGCGCCCUAAGCCUUCCGGCCGAGGGCACGUCUGCCUGGGUGUCAUUC
Molecule: ribosomal RNA, 164 nt
Filed under: Euphorbia turbiniformis
Lineage: Eukaryota; Viridiplantae; Streptophyta; Magnoliopsida; Malpighiales; Euphorbiaceae
Also listed under: 1 other name
Description: 5.8S ribosomal RNA
Rfam family: 5.8S ribosomal RNA
About the family: 5.8S ribosomal RNA (5.8S rRNA) is a component of the large subunit of the eukaryotic ribosome. It is transcribed by RNA polymerase I as part of the 45S precursor that also contains 18S and 28S rRNA.
Source: RNAcentral